Molecule: long non-coding RNA, 501 nt
Organism: Populus euphratica (Euphrates poplar)
Lineage: Eukaryota; Viridiplantae; Streptophyta; Magnoliopsida; Malpighiales; Salicaceae
Exons: 2
Source: RefSeq, a predicted model, not a curated record
CCCUAGUCCCCUGUUCCUGGCCGCUUCUUUUUCUCUCUGGGCACGUUGUUCAUUCCUCUUCCUAAAAUGGCUUCUUCUCCUUUCGUUGCUGCAAUUAUAGGAGAGGAGAAUCCAUUUUAGGAAGGGAAUGAAUACUGUGUCGGUUUUAUGAGGGAGACAAUCUGACAAAAUUAUAACAUGGUUUUUCUCCAUUCUUGAAAUUUGAUAUCAACUAUUUCAGUUUCAGAUAAAAGAUGAGAAAGUGAUGAAGGAGUUUAUUUUAGAGCAAGCGGAGAAUCUAUGUUCUGCGGGGUUGUGGUUUCUAUAUUGUUCUGUGCUGUAUUGUGAGGCAAAAUCAAUGUUUGGGGACUGGUUACUCUGCUGUUUUUGUUAAAUUUUGUUGUGUUUUUGAGAUAUAAAUUAACCAAUAUGAUUUAUGACUUCUUAAACUCACAUGUUUUAUGGAAUAAUUCUUAAGUUCAAAAAAUGAAAAUAAUAAUAAUAAUUGGUUGAUAAUGUUAA